This is a small nuclear RNA of Sorex fumeus (smoky shrew), 161 nucleotides long. RefSeq annotates it as U1 spliceosomal RNA. The record is from RefSeq and is a predicted model, not a curated record. Lineage: Eukaryota; Metazoa; Chordata; Mammalia; Eulipotyphla; Soricidae. The transcript has a single exon.
AUACUCACCUAGCAGGGGAGAUACCGUGAUCAUGAAGGUGGUUUUCCCAGAGUAAGGUUUAUCCACUACACUCUGGACAUAUGAACCCCUGUGAUUUUCCAAAAUGCGGGAAAUUCACAGCAUAACUUGUGGUAGUGGGGGACUGUGUUCAUGAUCACCCU